This 310-nucleotide long non-coding RNA is filed under the name Capsicum annuum. RNAcentral describes it as "long non-coding RNA (CANN_LNC015996)". Lineage: Eukaryota; Viridiplantae; Streptophyta; Magnoliopsida; Solanales; Solanaceae. The record is from RNAcentral.
UCUGAUACCAUCCAAUCCAGUUUUUCCAAUCGUCGUCCUUGGUCAGAACUCAUUGAUCGAUCCGCUUUCUCUAAACCCGAUUCCGUCUCCGAUGCUACUCUCCGUAUCCGCAAAAACUACUCCUAUUUCCGUACCAAUUACCUCUCUCUCCUCGGCAUCGUCCUUGCGGUUUCGCUUAUAACCAACCCGUUUUCCCUACUCCUUCUCACCGCUCUUCUCGCUGCUUGGCUAUUUCUCUACCUCUUCCGUCCUUCCGAUCCUCCUUUGGUCCUCUUCGGUCGGCAGUUUUCCGAACGGGAGACGCUUGGUG